UGGGGAAUAUUGGGCAAUGGGCGCAAGCCUGACCCAGCAACGCCGCGUGAGUGAAGAAGGUUUUCGGAUUGUAAAGCUCUGUCCUCAAGGACGAAAAAAAUGACGGUACUUGAGGAGGAAGCCCCGGCUAACUACGUGCCAGCAGCCGCGGUAAUACGUAGGGGGCGAGCGUUGUCCGGAAUUACUGGGCGUAAAGGGAGCGUAGGCGGCCUAUUAAGUUAGAUGUGAAAUACCCGGGCUUAACCUGGGGGGUGCAUCUAAAACUGGUGGGCUUGAGUGCAGGAGAGGAAAGCGGAAUUCCUAGUGUAGCGGUGAAAUGCGUAGAUAUUAGGAGGAACACCGGUGGCGAAGGCGGCUUUCUGGACUGUAACUGACGCUGAGGCUCGAAAGCGUGGGGAGCAAACA
RNAcentral lists this ribosomal RNA (405 nucleotides) under uncultured Bacillota bacterium. Its description in RNAcentral is "uncultured Firmicutes bacterium partial 16S ribosomal RNA". It matches the Rfam family "Bacterial small subunit ribosomal RNA", at positions 355 to 774 of the family's 1533-position model. The record is from RNAcentral. Lineage: Bacteria; Bacillati; Bacillota.